UGACUAGGGAAUUGAGGGACUUUUGGAAUUUAUGUCCUACUUUCAUGCCCAGAAAAGAAAAUGUCUGGCGCUGGAUUCUGAUAUCUGAAGGAGACCUGACCAAAUUGCCCUGUGUUCUCCUGGGACUCAGAUGCCUCUGAGACCCCAAAGAAGCUUCUUAAAACACCUGUGCAGAAAUCCUCUCCCAGUGGCUCCCUCAGAUAAUUCCACACCACCUGCCUGCUGCCCGGGAUUCUUUACAGCAGUUGAGGUACAGAAAGAGGAUCUAGAGAGAAUCUGAUGAGCAGAACUGGAAGACUGUGGAAGUGCUAAGGACCAGAAGACUCUCUGAGGAAUGAGACUUAAGAGCAGAAGUCUUGCCACCUGCUUGCAGGAUGAGGGAAUAAUAAUAACACCAGUCACGGGAUCCUGUCGCACUGUAUCCAUUGAGGCUCUUCAAGUGAGCCCGACCAUGGCGCCAAAAUCCCCAGGA
This is a long non-coding RNA of Eptesicus fuscus (big brown bat), 472 nucleotides long. RefSeq lists it as uncharacterized. The transcript is spliced from 3 exons. Lineage: Eukaryota; Metazoa; Chordata; Mammalia; Chiroptera; Vespertilionidae. The record is from RefSeq and is a predicted model, not a curated record.